AACGAACGCUGGCGGCGUGGUUUAGGCAUGCAAGUCGAACGGUCUUUCCCGGGUUCGCCUGGGAUUGAUAGUGGCGCAAGGGUGAGUAAUACGUGGGUAAUCUGUCUUUGAGAUCGGGAUAACAUUUCGAAAGAGAUGCUAAUACCGGAAAGACCAUAGAGGCUUCGGCCUCAGCGGUAAAAGAUGGCCUCUCAUUAUGAAGCUACCGCUCGAAGAGGAGCCCGCGUUCUAUUAGCUAGUUGGUAGGGUAAUGGCCUACCAAGGCGAUGAUGGAUAGCUGGUCUGAGAGGAUGGUCAGCCACACUGGGACUGAGACACUGCCCAGACUCCUACGGGAGGCUGCAGUCGAGAAUCUUUCGCAAUGGGGGAAACCCUGACGAAGCGACGCCGCGUGAGUGAUGAAGGCCUUCGGGUUGUAAAGCUCUGUCACUUGGGAUGAAGAUUCUUGACACCAAUAAUGUCAAGGGUUGACAGUACCAAGAGAGGAAGCCCCGGCUAACUCCGUGCCAGCAGCCGCGGUAAUACGGAGGGGGCGAGCGUUGUUCGGAUUUAUUGGGUGUAGAGGGUGUGUAGGCGGUCUUGCGAGUCAGGUGUGAAAUCCCUUGGCUCAACCAAGGAAGUGCACUUGAAACUGCAUGACUUGAGUAUAAGAGAGGAGAGUGGAAUUCCCGGCGUAGAGGUGAAAUUCGUAGAUAUCGGGAGGAACACCGGUGGCGAAGGCGACUCUCUGGCUUAAUACUGACGCUGAAACACGAAAGCUAGGGGAGCGAACGGGAUUAGAUACCCCGGUAGUCCUAGCCGUAAACGAUGGGCACUAGGUGUAGGGGGUUUUAACCUUCUGUGCCGUAGCUAACGCAUUAAGUGCCCCACCUGGGGAGACGGUCGCAAGACU
Molecule: ribosomal RNA, 892 nt
Filed under: uncultured bacterium
Lineage: Bacteria
Description: bacterial SSU rRNA
Rfam family: Bacterial small subunit ribosomal RNA
Source: RNAcentral